RNAcentral lists this long non-coding RNA (1610 nucleotides) under Cotesia glomerata. RNAcentral's name for it is "uncharacterized LOC123267969, transcript variant X7". Lineage: Eukaryota; Metazoa; Arthropoda; Insecta; Hymenoptera; Braconidae. The record is from RNAcentral.
CUCACGCUCACGACCGCUGAUUUCCCCAUUCCACUUGAUUGUGAAUGUUACUGUCGUUAACUCAAGUGGAAUGGAUUAUGGAGCGUUUCGGGCGUUCAUGUAAAUAUUACAAAUGGCAAGUUUGAAAAUAGUAGAAGUUUAAGGAGGUUAGUUAUCAAACAACUUAAGUUUAAAUAUAAUCGAAAUGGCUUUGACGGCAGUUGGAUAUUUGCUGAUGCAUCGCAAUAAAGCUCCAGAAACUAGUUCAUCUAGCUCAGAUGAAGAAUGGGAUGCAAUUAUAAAAAAUUAUAAUCGUGAAAACCGACAACUUAGGCCACGUAUUAUUGACUAUGAAAAUGUAAUUUUUCGCUAUUCGGAUAAAGAAUUUAAAAGUAAUUUCAGAAUUUCAAGGAACACAUUCAAUUAUUUACAUGAUAUAAUAGAAGAAAAUUUAGUUCGACAUGUCCCUGGGUGCCCUACAAUUCCAUCUCAUCAUCAAUUGAUGAUAGCCCUUUGGAAAAUGGCAACAAUGGAUUCAUAUAGAUCAGUUUGUGACAGAUUCAACGUAGGAUGAGCCACUGCUGUGAGAGCUGUACGUCGAGUUUGCCACGCUUUAUUUAUAAAAUCCUCAAGAUUUAUACAAUGGCCUACGGGGGAUCGUGCUAUAGAAGUGAUGCAUGGAUUUGAAAGAGCGAGUGGCUUUCCAAAAGUAAUAGGGGCGAUUGAUGGUACUCAUAUUCGUAUUAAUGGUCCAAAACAAAAUCAUGCAGAUUAUAUUAAUCGGAAAGGAUUUCAUUCUAUUCAGUUACAGAUCGUAUGUGAUCACAAGACUCUGAUAACUCAUUGUUAUGCUCGACAUCCUGGGCCUGUUCAUGAUCAAAGAGUUUUCCGUUUAUCAGAAGUUGCAGAUUACGUAAAUGAUGAUGAUAAAUUCUUAGAAAAUUGCCAUAUUCUAGGCGAUGCUGCGUAUAAAUUCCUCAACACUUACUUACUCCGUAUCGAGAUAAUGGACAUUUAACUGAAAAACAAAGAAACUAUAAUUAUCGUCAUUCAGCUGCACGAGUGACUGUUGAACGAUGUAUUGGAUUAUUAAAAGGACGCAUGAGGAGCUUAUUACAUUGUCUACCAAUGACAAGAGUCGAUUUAAUGGCAGAGAACAUCAUUGCAUGCUGUGUCGUCCACAAUAUCUGCAUUUUACAAGGAGAUGAGUUAAAUGUAAUCACUAUCCCUGAACAUAAUCAAGAAAACGUAGAAAAUAAUGGAAACUAUUCACGUGAAGUCAGGAGAACUGCAGGAGUUAUUAAAAGAGAUGCUAUUAUGAAUUCCUUGUAAAACUGGUAGAAAACUCAUCAUAAAUCCUGUUAGGAGUAAUCACAAUAGUUUUAUAGGACCGAAAAUUAUCAAAGUCGUAUGAUCAUUGGAUUUUUGAACAUUUGAGUGAAAAUAAUAAUUUGAUGUAAAUUGUAUGAACUACAAUUUUUCGAAAAAUUUUUUAAUAUUUUAUGUAGGAUCAAAUGGUUAUGAAAUUGUAUAUAUUUUUGAAUUAUGUAAUAGUAAUUGUGAGAACUCCUAAACUUUUUUGUUUAUAAAUUUAUUAAAUAUUGAUUUAUAUUAUAAAAUGUAUUUUAAAA